CAGGCGCGAAACCUUUACAAUGCACGCAAGUGUGAUAAGGGGAUCCUAAGUGCUCAUGCAUUAGUAUGGGCUUUUUUCAAGAGUAAAUAUCUUGGAGAAUAAGUGGUGGGUAAGACUGGUGCCAGCAGCCGCGGUAACACCAGCGCCACGAGUAGCAACCGCGUUUAUUGGGCUAAAGCGUCCGUAGCCGGUCGGAUAAAUCUUUUGUGAAAUCGUCAGGCUUAACUUGACGGCGUGCAGAAGACACUAUUCGACUUGAGACCGGGAGGGGUCAGAGGUAUUCCUGAGGGAGCGGUAAAAUGUGAUAUUCUCAGGAGGAUCACCUAUGGCGAAGGCAUCUGACCAGAACGGUUCUGACGGUGAGGGACGAAGGCUGGGGGAGCGAUCCGGAUUAGAUACCCGAGUAGUCCCAGCAGUAAACUCUGUGAGCUAGAUGUUGCAUAUCCUUGAGGAUGUGCAGUGUCGAAACGAAGGUGUUAAGCUCACCGCCUGGGAAGUACGGUCGCAAGACUGAAACUUUAAGGAAUUGGCGGGGGAGCACACAAGGGGUGCGGCGUGCGGUUUAAUCUGACUCAACGCAGAGAACCUUACUAGAAGCGACGGCAGGAAGAAGGUCUGGCUGAAGACUAUACCUGACGAGCCGAGAGGUAGUGCAUGGCCGUCGUCAGCUCGUGCUGUAAAGUGUCCAGUUAAGUCUGGCAACGAGCGAGACCCCUACC
This 719-nucleotide ribosomal RNA is filed under the name uncultured archaeon. RNAcentral's name for it is "bacterial SSU rRNA". It matches the Rfam family "Archaeal small subunit ribosomal RNA", at positions 336 to 1058 of the family's 1478-position model. The record is from RNAcentral.